AAAAUCCGUCGACUUUUAAAAUCGUGAGGGUUCAAGUCCCUCUAUCCCCAAAAAGGACUAUUUUACUCCCAA
Molecule: transfer RNA, 72 nt
Filed under: Ourisia microphylla
Lineage: Eukaryota; Viridiplantae; Streptophyta; Magnoliopsida; Lamiales; Plantaginaceae
Description: partial tRNA-Leu
Source: RNAcentral